AUGAAGUACUAAUAUUAAAGUAUUAACUGAAUUAAAAAAAAAAAAUUCAAAACUAACAGAUGCUGGUUUUCCAUUAUUAUAAAUAUUAUGAAAUGUACAAAGCAAAUAAAAAAUAACCUCUGUGGUGUAUAAGACAAAUUUCCUCCUAGAAACCAUACAAGUUGAUGACUGCUUAGGUAAGGUCAACAGCAAAAUGUCUAGUAUAAAAGUUCUUUACAAUCACAAUAUAGUCAAACUUAUAUUCAUUACUUUGUUCAG
This is a non-coding RNA of Cinara cedri, 258 nucleotides long. The record is from the annotation of a GenBank genome assembly. NCBI's taxonomy places the organism in Eukaryota, Metazoa, Arthropoda, Insecta, Hemiptera, Aphididae.